ACACAGUUUUGGUCCUAAACUUGCCGUUGUUUUUAAUCAAAAUUACACAUGCAAGCCUCCGCACACCAGUGAGAAUGCCCAUACACCCCCAACAGCCAAUCGGAGCAGGUAUCAGGAACACACACCUGUAGCCCACAACACCUUGCUACGCCACACCCCCACGGGUUCACAGCAGUGAUUAACAUUAAGAUAUAAGCAAAAGCUUGACUUAGCUAUGAUUAUUAAGGGUCGGUUAAUUUCGUGCCAGCCACCGCGGUUAUACGAAAGACCCAAAACAACAGCCCCCGGCGUAAAGCGUGACUAGAGACAGUUAGACUUUAAUGGAAAACCAUCGCCCCGCCGUAAAACGCCCCUGCAAAUUGGAAACCCAUCAAUAAAAUGCCAUUAAACAAUAAACCACUUAACCUCACGAAAGCUAAGAAACAAACUGGGAUUAGAUACCCCACUAUGCUCAGCCGUAAACUAAGGUAGUGUAAACACAACACUACCCGCCAGAGAACUACGAGUGAAAAACUUAAAACUCCAAGGACUUGGCGGUGCUCCACAUCAACCUAGAGGAGCCUGUCCUAUAAUCGAUAAUCCACGUUCUACCCUACCACCUUUUGCCCCCAGCCUAUAUACCGCCGUCGAAAGCCUACCUUCUGAAAGAAGCACAGUAGGCAAAACAGUUAUUAACUAGCACGUCAGGUCAAGGUGUAGCACAUGAGGUGGAAGAGAUGGGCUACAUUUUCUGCCACAGAAAACACGAACAGCCUAAUGAAACUUAGGCCAAAAGGCGGAUUUAGCAGUAAGACAAACAAGAAACCCUGUCUUAAACCCGCUCUGGAGCGCGCACACACCGC
RNAcentral lists this non-coding RNA (842 nucleotides) under Plestiodon elegans. RNAcentral describes it as "partial 12S ribosomal RNA". It matches the Rfam family "Bacterial small subunit ribosomal RNA". Lineage: Eukaryota; Metazoa; Chordata; Lepidosauria; Squamata; Scincidae. The record is from RNAcentral.